Long non-coding RNA from Gasterosteus aculeatus aculeatus (three-spined stickleback), 2817 nucleotides. Lineage: Eukaryota; Metazoa; Chordata; Actinopteri; Perciformes; Gasterosteidae. The record is from Ensembl.
GUGACCUUUGACCCCUGCGAGAAAGAUGUUAGUCUCACAGGGUCAAAGGUCAGCAUCAUUUUCACAUUCGUCAGUAGCUUUUACUGUCCGUCUGGCCGGUUACAACGUAGACGACUCCCCUGUCGGGGGGUCUGUGUGGACGCGAUGAACCGCACGCCGUGAUUGUACCGUCAUCACAACAAGUCAAGACUUUCACCCAGUGGACGACCGGGCCCGGUUCCUCUACGUGGCUGACUGAGUUAAACGGAUCAUUUUCAGGAUGAGAUGACGUAGUUCAGGCUUUUUGGUUCCCGGAGAAGGUUUGUCUAAAUCACCACAUCACCACAUGGAAACACCUGAAGCUGCUCCGGUUCAUCUGAGCUGCUGGAUCAGUUCAUCUCUCCUCACUGAUGAAGGAGCGACAUCAGUUAGAUGAACGUUUUAUAGGGAGAGACUUCUAUGACAUCACAGAGACCCGUUAUGACGUCACCAUGACGUCCUGUACGAGCGCCGCAGAUGCUGAGGACCAGAACCACUUAUCUACAAGAAGAAUUCCCUGAGCUGAGCGUCCACUGUCCCACGGACUGUCUCUAUACGGUCUCACACACUGUCUCUAUACGGUCUCACACACUGUCCCACGGACUGUCUCUAUACGGUCUCAUGUCUCGCAGUGUCAGACACAUGAAGCCUCCUGCCAGCAGACACAUUUAAAUAUAAUGUGAUUGAUUAGAGUGACGAGGCCCUUAAAUGAGCGUCACAUUUGACCGACACGCGUAACGUUACCUUGUGUGAUACUUUGUGGGGCUUGUAGCCUCCAGGGGGCGCUGUCAGUCUUUAACAUCAUCAUAGGAUUCAUCUCAUGUCAUUUUGUAUCACAAAUGUGCCUCAUGUGUCUCUACAGUGUGAACACAUGUGAAUAAUACGUUAAAUUCAUCCGACAGAAAUGAUUCAAAUGAACAUGUUAUCUGCUCAUGUGUUCAUGAUCAUCUCCUGCUCUUCCUUUAAGUUUAUUCACCGUCAUACUGUUAAAAAUCCUGGUUUCUGUGAUCGACUCUUCCGCCUUCUGACGUGAGACGAUUAUCCUGAUGAUUGACAUCUGGUUCAAACUAACGAGACGUUUGAGCGCCGAUCCGCCUUCGAGGAACCGAGACAGUCUGAUGUCAAUCAUCUCGGUAACCUGAGCUGGGUAACGGGACAUUUGAUGGACUUAGUUGAACCACGUACGAGGAACAGGGUCCUGAUCUCUAUCGGAGGAGAAAAGUGGAAUGAUGAACACCUGAAGUAAACAAAGUCGACUCAACAGAACAUCUUUUAUUAAAAUAUUAAACUUUAAAUUCGGGGCACAAAAGCGGCACCUCAGUCACACAACGGAGGGCGUAGAGAGGUCAGUGAAGUGCGCACUGCCCAACAGAAACAAAGCAGGUAAAACAACAGCUGGAGGUCACCUGAGGGACAAACAUAAGCUCUCCAGAUCCAAAUGAACACUGUAUCCAACCAGUGGGAACGCUGACCUCUGGCUCCGCCCCCCUCAAUCCCAGUUUGUCGGGCCUGUCAUGGACAUGUAGUCGUCCAGCUCGGCGUCCAGGCGGCUCUUGGUCAUGGACAUGUACUCGUCCAGCUGUGCGUCCAGGCGGCUCUUGGUCAUGGACAUGUACUCGUCCAGCUGUGCGUCCAGCUGCUGCUUCGUCGGAAUGCAACCUUUGCUCAUGCACCGCCUCCCAGAGGAAAUGACCCCGCCCAUCUGCAGGUGUGUUCGUCCUGAAAAGGGUACAUGAAUGACAUGUUGCGCAUGUUUGCGUCCCAUACGUGAUGAAGACUGAGCCCCUCAGAGCGCAGUGAGCGUGAGCACAGGUGGGAGCGCAGGUGGGACAGUAUUAAGUACGUUUGAUCCACUUACUGAUCAUUUUGUGGAUCUUUGUCAUCCUCACAAGGCGACGCUUCCUGAGUCGUCUGUGAAUGUUUCCUGGUUCUGAACAGGAGGCACAUGUACAGGUGUAGCUACAGGCGAAGAAGGCAACAAAAACUACCACCAGGUACUUACUUCUGCAGGUGGAGGCGAAGCUGGUUCUCCACCUGUACUUGUUCAUGAAGCUCCAGAAGCCUGGAGGUCUGGACGUGCCCUGAUGCCAGCCGAGUCGAGUCCAGACGUUCCCCCUCCUGGAGCGCUGCCCCACAGACGGGUCAGGACGGGGAUCAGAGGGUUAACCAGGGAGGAGCUGUGCACACCUGGAGAAACCCCUCCCACAUCUACACCUGUGUGACUCACCGGCAGGCGGAGCGACCGUGACCUCUGCGUCUCCACCAGCAGCAGCGUCUGUGGGGGGACGCACCCCUCCUGCUGCCGCAGCAUGACCGGGUCAAAGGUUACACUUCUGGACCGGCUCCUCUGGUCUACCAACACCUGAGAGAAGCUACAGCAGAGUCUCACCGCUCGUCCAGAGACACUGUCGACGUACUUCUUGGGAAAAACGAGCUUGUUUCGGAUGAAUCUGUCGGCUGCGGUUCUCCGCGACUCAUCCUGCCGGCGCGCUGUGACGCAGAGCCGAGUCCGUGUACCUGCGCGAGGACCCGCACGCGCCGAUCGACCAGGACCCGCACGCGCCGAUCGACGAGGACCCGCACGCGCAGAUCGACCAGGACCCGCACGCUGAUCGACCAGGACCCGCACGCGCCGAUCGACCAGGACCCGCACCGGAUGCCCGUGAGGACGAACACGAGCUGUUCCCGUGAGCCUACCUGCCCUUUGACCUCUGCAGCAUUAAGUAAAAGGUGUAUUUAAGGGGAAUGAUGACAGCCGAGUUUGAGAGAAGAACUUAACGAGUCCACAUGUGUGAACCU